Long non-coding RNA from Octopus bimaculoides (California two-spot octopus), 342 nucleotides. RefSeq lists it as uncharacterized. NCBI's taxonomy places the organism in Eukaryota, Metazoa, Mollusca, Cephalopoda, Octopoda, Octopodidae. The record is from RefSeq and is a predicted model, not a curated record.
GUAAAAGUUUUUGUAGUUAUUACGUCAUAGGCGGACAUGUCGAAUAUAAACAGUUUUGUCCAAUAUUCUACGCGAUCUUAUCCGGUUUGCUCAGUAAUAAUAUAGAAGAAGAUGUGUUAGCAUUUUGCAAAAUGUUAACGUCCUGCACCUAAAUAAUUAUUCCAAGUCAAUUUUUAUCUUCAAUUUUCAAAAGAUGAUGUCUAAAGUGGGGCAAAAUGAGUAAUAAUUGAUUUAAAUAAUUUCUUCUAAACUGCAUCAUGCAUAAAUUUAUCAAGAGGAAAGCCACUCCAGCAAAUUGUGAAAAAGCUACAGAGAAUGUUUUAAAUAAAGUUUUUAGAUUUA